Molecule: ribosomal RNA, 550 nt
Filed under: Akanthomyces attenuatus
Lineage: Eukaryota; Fungi; Ascomycota; Sordariomycetes; Hypocreales; Cordycipitaceae
Description: SSU rRNA
Rfam family: Eukaryotic small subunit ribosomal RNA
Source: RNAcentral
GUAGUCAUAUGCUUGUCUCAAAGAUUAAGCCAUGCAUGUCUAAGUAUAAGCAAUUAUACAGCGAAACUGCGAAUGGCUCAUUAUAUAAGUUAUCGUUUAUUUGAUAGUACCUUACUACUUGGAUAACCGUGGUAAUUCUAGAGCUAAUACAUGCUAAAAAUCCCGACUUCGGAAGGGAUGUAUUUAUUAGAUUAAAAACCAAUGCCCUCUGGGCUCCUUGGUGAUUCAUAAUAACUUUUCGAAUCGCAUGGCCUUGCGCCGGCGAUGGUUCAUUCAAAUUUCUUCCCUAUCAACUUUCGAUGUUUGGGUAUUGGCCAAACAUGGUCGCAACGGGUAACGGAGGGUUAGGGCUCGACCCCGGAGAAGGAGCCUGAGAAACGGCUACUACAUCCAAGGAAGGCAGCAGGCGCGCAAAUUACCCAAUCCCGAUUCGGGGAGGUAGUGACAAUAAAUACUGAUACAGGGCUCUUUUGGGUCUUGUAAUUGGAAUGAGUACAAUUUAAAUCCCUUAACGAGGAACAAUUGGAGGGCAAGUCUGGUGCCAGCAGCC